AAGGGAGACCUAAUUCAGGUAUGGGACGAAAAAAAAGUAGUCGCUACCAAGAGUCAAUCCCAAAAGGUCGGAGCGAGGUAUGAGGCUUUCAAACUAGGUUCUGGGUUCAAACAAGACCUGAAUCAGGAACAAGGGCUAUUAGCUCAGGUGGUUAGAGCGCACCCCUGAUAAGGGUGAGGUCCCUGGUUCGAGUCCAGGAUGGCCCACCUGCACAGGUGGCAAAAACAAGAGAAGCGAGGAAUCAGCACCUUAUCUUAUCUAUAUAUAAGAGAGAAUGCUGGCUCUGAGUAAAGAGUCCAGAGGAACCUUGAAAACUGCAUAGAGCUAGGUGAAAAAGCCAAAAAAGAAGACCGCAA
This 356-nucleotide transfer RNA is filed under the name uncultured Microcystis sp. RNAcentral's name for it is "partial 16S-23S ribosomal RNA intergenic spacer". The stretch from base 133 to 206 matches the Rfam family "tRNA". Lineage: Bacteria; Bacillati; Cyanobacteriota; Cyanophyceae; Chroococcales; Microcystaceae. The record is from RNAcentral.